UAGAGGAUAGUGUAGAGGAAGCACUGGGAGUUUUGAUCUCCCCGGCAGGGGUUCGAGUCCCCUCUCUCUAA
This 71-nucleotide transfer RNA is filed under the name Anisotremus scapularis. RNAcentral's name for it is "tRNA-Gln". It matches the Rfam family "tRNA". Rfam says of the family: Transfer RNA (tRNA) molecules are approximately 80 nucleotides in length. The record is from RNAcentral. Lineage: Eukaryota; Metazoa; Chordata; Actinopteri; Lutjaniformes; Haemulidae.